AUGGCUUCCUCGUCUCCAUCACCUGAGUUUACCCCGAUGAUCCUCAUGGUCUUCCAUCUUUUCCUCACUUUCACACUCGUUGACCGCGUGUUGUGUAUGCGUCUAUUGAUGUGCCAUCUUCCCCGCCUCAGCCUACUUACGGCUUGCCUUCUCAUAUGUUUCCGCCAAUUGACCACCCUGAUUUUUCAAGCGCUUGCGCUGCUUUUCUUGAGUCGAUUUCUUAUCGUGACUGUUGCUUAUCUGAAAUGGCAGUUUACGAUGGUAGAGGAGAUUGUUGCUCAUCUGAAAUGGCAGUUUACGAUGGUAGAGAAGACUGUUGCUCUUGAGCGUACCGGCACGUGGGAUCUUGUUUCUCUUCCUCUUUGUGUUCGUCCCAUCACUUGUAAGGGGUUUACAAGGUUAAGACUCGCUCUGAUGGUUCCGUUGCGUUACAAAACUCGUCUUGUGGCUCGUGGCUUUCAGGAGGUGCUUGGUCUUGAUUACAAGACUUUUUGCUAA
RNAcentral lists this ribosomal RNA (498 nucleotides) under Triticum aestivum (bread wheat). RNAcentral describes it as "partial small subunit ribosomal RNA". Lineage: Eukaryota; Viridiplantae; Streptophyta; Magnoliopsida; Poales; Poaceae. The record is from RNAcentral.